RNAcentral lists this non-coding RNA (4510 nucleotides) under synthetic construct. The record is from RNAcentral.
GAUGACAAUUUAGUGCAGCUUUCAAUAGGGUUAUACAGUCGCCUGGCUGAUACUUUAGGACCACAUCCUUACACUGUGUCAGCAGAGGGUCCCUGAUUACACGUGUUCUCAGAGUGGGAAUAGUCAGUACAUAAACAAACAGGGUAUACAUGGGAAGGCUGCAAGGGGUUCUCUUCAGGGUGAUCAUACCACGUAAGAACUGGGCCUUAAGGCAUACCGCAUCUGCCACACCUUUGAGGAUCCUGCUGAAUAUUCCAUCCUUUUCUAUACAUUUUAUCACCUCUAUGAGUUUUAUCACAAGCUGUUGGGACAAUUUUUCUGAAGUAGACAUGAGUAUGUCGUCAGUGGGCAACUCCCUACCGUGUUUCAGGCAAGCAUAUGCCCAGGCCAACUGUUCGUCUAGCAUGUGGGUCAGCACCACCAGGCCGUUGUUGAAGAUUGCAAAAUACCUUGUAGAUAGCCAAUGAUCCUUAUUUAUUCCACUGUUAAAGAAAGAGUUAAGCAGUUUGAAAGACUCUUCAAUAUUUUUUAGUGAUACCGCCUUUUCAGACACUGGACAAUUUCUGGCAGCGUUCUGAAUUAUAGCAUCCACAAACCGAUCAGUAUAGAACUCUGGGCGCAGUUUACCAGUUGUAGGCACCAACAGUUUGGCAUUUUUGUACUCUGCUCUUGGAAUUUUGCUGUAAUCCAGAAGAGGUUUGGGGGACCAAUAUUGUUUCUGGCUUUUCUGGUUCCAUCUGUUUGGUCUUCGUGAGUCUGGUCCCCUUUUCUGCUUCUGGUUAGCAUUUUCUCUCUGUGGACUGCGUCUGGGGUGGUAAGAAUAGCUUCUUUUGGGUGCAGGCUCAUACUUUGUUGUAUCUCUAAGCAGAGGAGAGUUGUGGACAAUUUCAGGAGACAGGGCGCGCUUUCUAGCCUUUGGAGAAGGUGGCUUGACGUCUGGCGAGGGUGUUGGUGGUGGGUCGUCGAAGAGUGGGUCAGGUUCGUACACCACAUCCCGGACUGGCCCCGUUGGCUCCUCAACUGGUGGAGAAUCUGAGAGCUCACCUUCUUCAUCAGAUGUAUCAAAGUCAAAAUCAGAUGGUAGUCCUGGGGGGAAACAAGAGAUUUUAAGACCAAAUUUAAACUCCAAAUUUUACAAAAGUGUUAAGUAGGAUUCCUUAUUUUGUAAAGACAUACCUUCCAUCAUUUGGUCCAGCGCGCCCGCCUCCAACAUCUGCUGUGCCAUUCUGCGAGCUGUGGGUACUGUAUGGUGCCCAGGAUCGGAGAGUCCUCUACACUCGAGCAUGCACGGUGCAAUGUGUCACAGGCUUAUUGUUGUUGCACUUAUUGGCAAAGCAUUGACUCAUAAGUGUUGCAGUUAUGACGUCACGUGAGAACUUUCCCAGGGUUAUGAAAAGCCUCACAUUAUGUGAUUUUGUUCUGUGUUGAUGAGUCAGACAGGAGAAGCCUGGACCUCUGCGAGGUUUCAGUUGUAGCAUGUUGUUAGACACAACGUUAAAUGAAAUGUUGUUUAGUUCAUUUGCAUUUUUCUGUGGCAGAUAUUUGACUAACUGCUCACAAAACAAUGGCCACAAGGUGGUGUCUAUCCAGGACUGGACCGGGCACCCCAAAAUAUCUUCCAGUUUGUCAAUAUCUAGAGAAUUUUUUGGUAAGCUGGCCACAGUCUUGCAGGAUAAAAAAUCCUCAUCUUUAUCACGAAUGUCCAAUAUUAGAUUAUAAUCUCCAGAUCUUAGAUCCUCACUGGUACUGUGAUACAAAAGGUUUGUCAGCACGAAGCUGUUCUUGACAUAGGAGGUCUUAUCUGGAAAUGGGUGACAGACAAACAAUUUUAGCAGUCUCUCAGGCAAUCCUGUAGAUGUAAAUUUGUAGGUGUGUGGCAGGCGAAUGCAGCGACCCUGGCUGUAGAUACCCGUGUCAAAUAAAAACUCUGUUGAAGAGAUUGAGGGGAAUAGUUCACACACUCUUUUGUUCAGUCUGAUAGUUCUGUUUAUCACUCUUGCUAGAGUUAUUAGUGGUGUUGCUCCAACUAUAGCAUGUCUCAUUGGUAAUGGUGUAAUUAUUCGGAGUCCAAUCUUUUUGCUGCAGGUACAAAAUGGUCGUGGUUCCAUAUAUAUAUCAGAGUUACACUCUGACUUGAAGAAAUAGACGGGAUGAGACGGGGGCAUCUCCAGGUUUAGGAUUGUGCUGAGGACAGUAAUUAUGUCCUGGCGAAUCUGCAGACACAGAUUGUAUAUGUCUUCAAUUUUAUAUCCUGGAACUUCAACUGGGAGAUCAAAAUCCAGAAUGACAUUAUAGAUUGGCAGAUGAGGGUUGAAGUAUUCGUGCCUGGAAACCAUGAGAUUGUCCUCAACCGUGUUGCUCGUGCAACCAUUAACACAGUAGGUCAAAAGUUCAGUGAUUCUCACGUCUGUUAAUUCAUCUAAAUUAAUUGAGUGGGGGAAAAUGACGUGCUUCUUCCAGUAGUCUUCUAUAGAAUCUGUUGCCACCAUCACAAAAUAAGUCUUGUUUUUAAAUUCACUUCUGUACGUGGGACAAAUUGGCUUUUCUGGGAACAGAAUGUCCUUUGGGUUAUCAAGUUCUUGUGGAGAUAAGGAUGCUAGUUUCAAUAACUCUUUCAGGCUGGACUCUGAGCUAUAAAAAGGAAAAUCCUCGUUGAUGGAAUCAAACAAGGCUGUCAGGUCCGAUGUCUGUCCAAACCAGGCCUGGAGAGUACCUGGGGUAUCUCCAUACGACCCUAAGCUGGCUCCAGGUACACGGACAACCUUUGUCAAUAGAUGGGUGUGAAUAUAUUUUUCCUUGUUAUAGUAGCUGGACAUUUUAUCCAAAAAUUCAUCACAGAGUUUCAGAUGAAGAAUUUCAGAACUGUAGGUGUUGAUAUUGUCCGGUGAGGUCUUUCCAAUAAAUUCCAGGAAGGCAGUUUUGUUAAAACAUGCAUAAAAUGCCAGGUACACAAAUUGUACAAUGUCCUUGUUAGACAGCAGUAGACCCCCCCUAAUUUCAUUAAUCAUCUGGUCAAUCUUUUCAUUUUCUAGAGUGUCUAUGUUGAGUUUAGUUUCUACAUAUUCUGCAAACAAAGGCACACUGUCCAGGAUAGAGCUUGAGGAAAAGAACAGCCCAAGUUCCUGAAGACUGGACACAUCAAUGAGAGAGUGUCCAAGCUCCCCGCAGAAAAGUCUAGCCAAGUGCAUGAGGGUCUCAACGGUACAAGCAUGUUUAUAAAAGUAAUAAGAGGCGAUGACCAGGGUAAAGGUCAAGUCAUCCUGUCCAAAGGUUGUAAUGAACCAUUGUGUGGAAGAUGUUGUCUUUAACAGUUUUCUCAAAAAAUUGAUUAAUUUUGACUGGUACCAUCUAACCAUUUCCAGAAAAGUGCCCUCUUUCUCCCCUCUGUUAUCUAGACUCAUUAUCAAUUUUAAAAUUGGCAAUAUUUGAGCUUUGAGGUGAGAAUAAUCUAGGCAAGAUGCUACCUGCCCGCUGGUUAGAGGCCUGCCAUUAAACAAAAACUGUUUGGCAUCAUCGCAGGAAAUGUCAACUUUAAACAGUUCAAAGUAUUUUUUUUCCUUAUUGGGCCUGUUUAGAGGUAGGCACAUAGAGAUGCUGCUGAUGUUUUUUAGACCAGAAAUACUAAAGCAGUCAUGAAUCAAAGAGGUGAAUUUAUAUUCAGUUGCGCCCUCGUGUGUGAUUAAAUUCACAACAGCGUCUAUAACAUCAAUAUCUGUAGAAAAUAUACACCUGACAGUAUCUGGCGAUACAAGGCAUGAAUUGCUGUGGUAUCUGGCCAUUUGGGAAACCCGGUGUACCUUACAAGAGGCUCGCUGAUGUAGAAACAGAUGAGAGAAUGGAGAUGGAGAUCAGGCUGGGUAUGCCCCCGGGGGUGUUGGCGGCCGACCUGAUUAGGAGCACCAAGGAUAAGCAGGUCCUGGAGCAACUCUAUCUUCUGGCCGUGCAGGCAAAUAAUUUAACAGAGCACAUCAAGAGAUUUACCUUGGGUGAGAUACCAGAAGAAUGUAAAAAUGUUACCAGAUCUCAAUUGGAAAAAUUAAAGUCUGUCCAACACAUAAUUUGGAACACAAUGAUAUCAUUGGCUGCUGGGGCAAUAAGUGUAGAUGAGGCCACACUUCCAGCCCUGCUGGACAAGAGGGCAGAGGAAACGGUGGCUCUUCUCGAGAUGGAGAAAAUAGCCACAGCAGUCAAACUGGAUGAGACGGCCGCAUGGGCCACUGACAUUGCUGGUAUUGUAUCUAGCCAACCUUUGGCCACGCCCCCAAGUGAGUCACCCGACCAAAUAGCACUGAAAAAAGCCACACAACUUUCAAAUGCUGUUUAUUGAAACUGGUCACACACAUCAUUUUGUGUGCAGUUUUAUUAAUUCACCCCACUUGACCCAAACCCCCGCCCCUCCCUAGAAGGCUUUCCUGGCCUCUGUUUGCUGUAUCGCCUAUUCUUUUCUUCAGCAAUUUCAGACUUGUCUGCAGCUUCGUGCGGAACCCUAAUAAACUGUACAACAGCUAAA